GCUGGUGUAGCUCAAUUGGUAGAGCGUUGGUCUUGUAAACCAAAGGUCCCAGGUUCGAGUCCUGGUAUCAGCA
Molecule: non-coding RNA, 73 nt
Organism: Cymbomonas tetramitiformis
Lineage: Eukaryota; Viridiplantae; Chlorophyta; Pyramimonadophyceae; Pyramimonadales; Pyramimonadaceae
Source: the annotation of a GenBank genome assembly